CUCACGAAUAUGUCUUCGAUUAUAAAGACGGGGAAGUGUAUUGGUGUACCGCGGAUGUCGGUUGGAUCACCGGGCACUCAUACAUGGUUU
This 90-nucleotide transfer RNA is filed under the name Shewanella piezotolerans WP3. Its description in RNAcentral is "tRNA-Ser". Lineage: Bacteria; Pseudomonadati; Pseudomonadota; Gammaproteobacteria; Alteromonadales; Shewanellaceae. The record is from RNAcentral.